RNAcentral lists this ribosomal RNA (429 nucleotides) under Chloroflexota bacterium. RNAcentral describes it as "Chloroflexi bacterium partial 16S ribosomal RNA". It matches the Rfam family "Bacterial small subunit ribosomal RNA", at positions 355 to 776 of the family's 1533-position model. Lineage: Bacteria; Bacillati; Chloroflexota. The record is from RNAcentral.
UGGGGAAUAUUGCACAAUGGGCGCAAGCCUGAUGCAGCCAUGCCGCGUGUAUGAAGAAGGCCUUCGGGUUGUAAAGUACUUUCAGUCGGGAGGAAGGUGGUAAGGUUAAUAACCUUAUCAAUUGACGUUACCGACAGAAGAAGCACCGGCUAACUCCGUGCCAGCAGCCGCGGUAAUACGGAGGGUGCAAGCGUUAAUCGGAAUUACUGGGCGUAAAGCGCACGCAGGCGGUUGAUUGAGUCAGAUGUGAAAUCCCCGGGCUUAACCCGGGAAUUGCAUCUGAUACUGGUCAGCUAGAGUCUUGUAGAGGUGGGUAGAAUUCCAUGUGUAGCGGUGAAAUGCGUAGAGAUGUGGAGGAAUACCGGUGGCGAAGGCGGCCCCCUGGACAAAGACUGACGCUCAGGUGCGAAAGCGUGGGGAGCAAACAGG